This is a long non-coding RNA of Capsicum annuum, 514 nucleotides long. RefSeq lists it as uncharacterized. Lineage: Eukaryota; Viridiplantae; Streptophyta; Magnoliopsida; Solanales; Solanaceae. The record is from RefSeq and is a predicted model, not a curated record. The transcript is spliced from 2 exons.
AGGAGAUUUCAUGCUUUUGCAUACCCAAGAAGGUUGGUCCUGCAGGUGUAAGUCACAAAGAGGCUAAGGUUAAUUUGGAUAAUCAUUUCCAGGAUCCGCCACAUCCAAAAAAUUAUUCAAUUACCCAAAAAAAUAUCAUGGUGAUUCAUCAUCUUCACCUAUCAAGAAAAAGUUGAAGCAACAACAUAAAGGUUUGGAUGAGCAGACACCAAAAAGGACCCCUCCACCUCGUACUACAAAGAAGCUUUCUGUCAGGACUCCAAUUUUUAUGCCGAUUCAACAAAAAGAGAAAGUAGUUUCAAAAAAGAAGGACCUAAACAGAUCAGCAAGCAAGAAAUCUAAUACGAUUCAGUCACCUGAUUCAUCUUUCUGCAGUUCUGGAGAUGAAAAUGAUUUUGUUUUAAAGAAAGUGUUUCACAAGUUUCGCAAUGAGGUUCUUCAAGAGAUGAAAUCCAUCCGUGGCCUAGUAUCAACAAGGUGUGAUGCGAUAAUGAAUGCUAUAAGUGAGAUCAAG